UUCAAACAGCUGGCUUUGCCAAUAAAUGCCUCUUUCCUAUUAAUUUUAACACACUUAACUUUAUGCAUGUGAGCAGUCAGUUCUGUGCAAAAUGUUAAUCUCUCACAUCAGCAUUUUCAGAAUUGAAGCCAGAGCUUGUUAUUUCCGGGAACUCAAACAGGUUUCCUUACAGGGGCUAUGUGUACACUAGGGGGGCUUUACUGGUAUAGUAUAGGUAUAAUAUACCAGCAGAGUGCUCCUGGUCUGGGAACAACUGCACUGGCAAAGCUGCCAACUUUGCCAGCAAAGUUUAUAAAGUUCAUCAAAUGUAUAGGAAAGUUUAUUAAAUUCAGUAGAACCUGAAAGCACAUAUGGAGUUUCAAAAGUCCACAGCAAACAGCUCCAAGGUUUUGCUGCUGACAUAAUCAGAAAUAGUCCUAUGGUUGAGGUCUAAUUGAAGACCAUUGAAUAUAAUAAAUGUAAUGUUUUUUGAGUAAGUGUUUUUGAGAAAUUACAGGAAGUUGAACACUUUUUGAAGUCCUGUAUUUCAGAAGUGUUUUGUCAUAAUUUCUGUAAAUUCUCUUGUGGCUAUACUUGCAAAACUUGACUUUGCUUUCCAAAUUUCCAAUAGAAUAGUCUGUUUUUUGAGGAAGUUAAGUGGGCAAAAUGGGGCUUAUAACAAAAGCUCAUUACAGUUUUAGGGCCUGAUCAUGAUAACUCUUACUUAUACGAGUAGUCCUUACUCAUGAUAAUAGUUCCAUGGUCUUCAGUGGGACUACUUAUGUGGGUAAGGGGGUUACUCAGAUGAAUAAUUAUUUACAUGAUCUGGUCCUUAAUUGUGGAGUCUCUAUCUUGUCUCUCUAGUUUUUGCAACUCCUUUGUGGGGUAGGUUAGUAACAAGUUUCUGAUCUUAUGCAGGGAAACUUAUUGAAUUAUGGAGAGAAAAGAUUUGUUUUAAUGUUACAACAAUAAGCACAAAAGAGCUAAUUGUUACUUUUUCUUCUUGGAAAGUAGGUACAUCCAAAGGGUCCAAUCCUAGAAACACUAAGGCACUCCUGUAGCUGCUCAUAUGAGUAAUCUUAGCAUUAGAAUAUCUCACAUGGGUGUUGAUGUCAUGUAUCACCCUAUAUAUUCAGUAGCAUUAUUUUCACCUGGACAUGAAUAGUUCAUCUUGCUUUGAUUGUGCCUUAUUUUAACAUUAAUGGAGAGGAUGGGCUAAUUCUGCAAAGAAGCAGAUGUCUUGAAAUCAAUCCAGACAGAGAAGGGAAAUUGAAAUUAGGGGACUGUCAGCAAGUAUUCAGAAGUGAAACUGAAACUCUACCUAAAUCAUGUGUAGCUUGAUAUCCGUCAAGCCCCAAGCAGCAUGACAGCAGCUUGCUAUAUUGAAAACGGUGUGAAAUAGAGUGCUACAAAGCUAGGGCCUGACCCUGAAAACCCUUAACCACAUGCACAACUUUUCUCAUGUGACUAGCCCCAUUGUACUGAGAAUUAUUAUUGUAUUAAUGUCAGAGACCAUUGAACAGCCCUUGCAUGAUUUUUAGUUGCUAAUGGGAGAUUGGUUUGAAAACAGUUAGCUAGAAAUAAAAAGCUCUGUUAUUCCAUUAUCCAUCUCCUGAGUCACCAUUCAGACUAAUAGUAAAUGAUAAUAUGAAACUUUUGCACUUCAGUGAAUGGUGACAUGCUUUCCCCUUGGCUGAUCACUGUGAUGCAGCAUUGAAAAUGGCAAGAUAUUGUCAGUACUUGCAACAGAAAUCAGUGGAAUGCCAAAUAGUUAAAUUAGAAGGCUGAGUGGUGCAACUUCUGAGUCUUCAGUUGAACUAAUCACAUGAGCAAAGAAAAAGUCUGUUUUUAUCAUUUAAUAACGAAAGGAACAGUUAUUUUGUGGCUUUACUUUUUCAUCUGCAGGAUACUUGGCAUGUUUCCUGAGCAAAUGUUGUUUACCGAAUUAUCAGAUUGAGACUGUGCCAUCAACCCAUAGGGCAUCAACAAGCAUAACUGAAUAUCUGGGGCUUUCAUAUUAGCCUAAGGAAUAAGAGAGGGAGAGUGACCAACCUGAAAACUCUGGAUCAUAUUGGAAAAGUAGUCAUAUUAAAAUAAACUCUAGGACACAUAGUAUGCAAAAUAUAAUUUAUUAUUAACUUACACAGACAAAUUAUAUUUAUUUUUUUACAUGUCAUUGCUCCUGGGGGCAUUCUGUGCCAAAAAUUUAAAAAUUCUGUGCACAAUAUUUUAAAAUUCUGCACAAUUCUGCAAAUUUUAUUUGUCAAAAUAACACUCCAAGUUAAUAACGCCAAUACCAAUUAUUUUGGUAAUUUAUUUCAAAAUACCUGUCAGCAAAUAUAUCUGUAACAUGCACAAAAAUUCCCCCAGGAGUAGAGAGUUAAAGAAACCCAGUUCCUGUUUCUCUGUCCCCUUUGGCCUCCCCCUCCAGAUCCUAGCCGGGGGGCCAGACACCCACAACCCCUCGCCCCCAAGCCUACCUAUGGGGGCCCCCCCACAGCCAAUACAUCCAAACCCCUUCCUCCCCAGAGUCCAGCAGCAAGGCCCCCUCAGCCCAGAUAGCCCGGUCCCCUCCCAGAGCCCAGCUGUGGGGACCCCCCGUCUCCAAACACACUUCCUCUCUCAGAGCCCAGGGGUCCAGAGGGAGAAACAGCCUGAUGCUUGGUCCCAGGCUUGCACAGAGUUUCCUGCAUGUUGCCCUCUCUUUCCCUCAGGGAAUGCUGGGAACUGCAGCUUCCAGGAACCCUCUAGCUCCCUCUCCCUGCCCCCAAGCAGUGUCUUCUAUGUGCAAGCUGGUCUCUGCUGAGUCCAGUGGUUCCUAGUGGCAGCUAGCAGCACUAGAGUCCAUUUUUGUGGGGGAAAGGAAAUUCUGUGUGCAAAACAUUAAUUUCUGCAAAAUUCUGCAUUGCGCAGAAUUCCCCUAGGAGCAGCAUGUUAAGAUCCUGCCUUUUAAAACAUUUGUUUUUGUUCAUUUCUGUUUAACCUAAAAUAAAAGAUGUUUAGCCCAAUUUGUUCUUCUGCCAAAGAGCAAAACACAGUAGUAGAGUUAUAAAACAGGAUCUAGGAAUUGUUUAGAAUUUGAAAUUCAGAGAGACAUUUGGACUUUUAUAUUUAUCUGUCUCUUCAACAACAUUCCCUGAACAAGUAGAUUUAAAAAAAUUCAAAUAGAACUUUGUACAUAUUACAUAAAAACACUGCAGAAUAUAUAUUAAUAUUAAAGUCAUCUUUAAAAGUUAGUGGAUUGAGUGUCCAGGCCAAUUCAGUGGUGAGUUUAGAGAGUGGCUUUGUUGGCAUAAUUUACCUGGGCUUCCCCCAACGUGUACAUUACAUCCGCUUAGAUUCCCUUACCACUUAAGACCUUUUACCAACAGGUAAUUUGCACCCAUUCUAAUAUGUCAUCUCUGAAUAUGGUCCACUAUGUAUAAGGAAGACUACUUUGAUGUAACUCAUAAGCUGAGGGGCCAGAAGAGAGGAGUAUAGCAAGUAAAGUAAUCGUAAAGAGAUGUGAGACCCUCCCCUCUUUCUGUUCCUAUCUUCUGGCUCCUGAGUGAGCAAGUUGCAUCAAUUUAGGUAUUGUCUACACUCAGGAAUAAUGCUUAUUCAGCAGUUGGUGUACCUGCACCAAUGUUGACCCUUAAGUGUAGACAAGAGGAAGCUGGGGUUUGCAUUAGUUAAGCUAGUCAGGAUUUAACCUUGCUUGAGCUAAUCAGAGUUUACCCAUACUUCAGUGGGUGCAAACUUUGGCAUGCCCUUAUCUACACCUAGGGUUCAGCUUGGUUACAGCUACACCAAUUGCUGAAUUAGUGCUAUUUCUCUGUAGGCAAGUCUUAGACUAGCUCCUUGUUAGUUGCUUUAAAAAAGGUGAAUUAUGCCUGAACAGGGUGAAGCCAGAGGAGGAUUAUAGUGGUCCUCAUAGGCAAAAUCAGUCAUUCCAUUUGGGAAUAGGGGCAAAAGACUAACCAAACCAUCUGGUAGUUUUCUCUCUGAAGUUUCACUCAAGAUUACUCAUGUUUGUCCGUGACUGCACCUUACAAUUCAUAGGUGAUGCAUAAGGUGGUAUAAGUUUGAGGAGUGCGAUUUGUACCACCUUAAACAUCAUUUCUGAAUUUAGUCCUUUGCUGAAGAGUACUAAUCAAUGUUUCAGUGAUUGCCAGACUGAUAACCAUUAGCGCAUUGACAGUAAGCAUUGGAGAAGUCCUCGCUCAAUUUUUGAAGAUAGUAUUACAGAUGUGUUAUGAAGAAAGCCAGAAAUGUAAGCUCUCCAGCACUUUCUGAUGUUUGAACAUAGUUGAGAAAUCGAAUGCAAAAGCAGAAUUUUCAAAGAAGAUGCAAUGGAUGCUCCUACAGAAUGUGUCUGUGCAAAAGUGCCUGUUUGCUAAAGUAGUUGAGGGUUUUUGUGAAGAUGAAGUAUCGGACUGGGAGUCAAGAAAUCAAGUUUAUAGUCCUGUCUCUGAUACUUGACUGACUUUCUGACCUCUACCAAGUCACUUAUCCUCUGUAUAACUGAGUUUAUUCCUCUGUUGAUUGGAACUAAAUGUAUACCUCAUAUGGAUUAUUAAUUAAACUUUGUAAAGCUCUUGGAUGAUGUAAAGUGUCAUAAAUCCUAUGUAAUCUUAUUCAGCCCUUCUAAAAGGUCUGUAUUACUUAUAAACCCGGGUUGCAGAGUCGUAGGGCAUCACACUUGUGUACCAUAGAGUUGCUGGUACUGAACUAAAGCCAUGUACUUCAGAGUUCCUUGACUCCACGAGGUACACAAAUGAAGUGAGAUUGUUAGAUCUAAAAUAUCUGCAGUAUUAGUAUCUCUGUCACUCUAUCUUUAUUUAAAGCUUUUAUUUAAAUAUCUAUCAAAAGGACUUCAUCAAAAUGUUCCCAUGUUAUAAACAAUGUACAAAGGCUGCAUGGGCUGGCAGAACUGUAUUUUCUUCCAUUCCCUGCAGUAAUGUAUAUGACUUUAAAUUAGAUAAAUCCGUAUGUUUUAAUAUCUGUUUUUAAAUGGAAACUUAGCUUUGUAUUUCCAGACUUUUUAAUGAGCCUUUCCUUUUGAAAAAUGUUAAUGUUCUUUUACGGCUAACCUUAAUUGCAUCUUUUUGCCUGAGAAUUCAAUAUCCUUUGAUACCAGUCUGUUAACCAGAGUAUUCAUUUCUAAAAUUCGCCUAUAAAAAUAGAUUUUGGGUCAUCCAUAAUUGCUUCAUGUAGCUUGGUGGGGUUUUAUGCUCCUUUAUGUAGUAGAAGUAUAAUGCAGGACUGCAGCAAGCCCGGUGUUGGCACAGAGAGAAACUGGCCUGCAGGGGAAUUCAAGGGAUGUGAUGAAAUGAAAGGUGGAGCUAGCGAUUAGCAGCUGUCAGAACAUCAAGGGUCAAUUUCACCAGCCUGGAUUAAAAAUAAAAUAAAAUAAAAUGCACUUCCAAUUUAGUCUUGUAACAAUAACCAUUAUGUAAUAUGGAAUUUGGUUGUAUGUGUGACCUCCAGGAAAUGUGAUAAGGUUUCCCCCAAGAUUUUAGGAAUGAAUCGGGCAAGUGAAAGUCAUCAGAUGACCUGAGUGUUUUCAUUAAAUGUGAAAGAAGUCUGGACACUUUUAAAAAGCUUUAAUUGUUUGUGCUGGUAUUAUUUUAGACUUGGCCUGUGUUAAACUGGGAGAGGCUUUCAUGUGAGGGAAUGCACGACGAUAGAAAGUAAGGCUGCUGGGAUUACCGUUUAGUGUACCUGCUGUGCUGCCCAUUUUCAAAGCUUUUAUAGCCUCUCUUAAAUCAGGUUCAGGAUAGAGUAAGUUGUGAAAUUCACUUUGUAGACUUCAGUGAAAAUGACAUGUCCGUCUCAGAGCAUUUUUUUAAACUGUUUAGUGUUACUUGAUGAAUACUGCAAAGAUUACUGUAGAAUAUAUCUUAAAUGAUAUAUACCAAAACCAAUUUUAGAGAGACACAAGGUGGAUGAGGUAAUAUAAAAAAGGUAAUAAAGAAAGCCCAAAAGCUUGUCUCUCUCACCAGUAGAAGUUGGUCCAAUAAGACAGUGGUUCUCAACCGAGGGUACGUGAAUCCCUUGGGGCACACAGAGGUAGGUCUUCCAGGGGGUACAUCAACUUAUCUAGAUAGUUGCCUAGUUUUAUAACAGGCUACAUAAAAAGCACUAGCAAAGUCAGUACCAACUAAAAUUUCAUACAGACAAUGACUUGUUUAUACUGCUCUAUAUACUAUACACUGAAAUGUAAGUACAAUAUUUAUAUUCCAGUUGAUUUAUAAUUAGAUGGUAAAAAUGAAAAAGUAAGUAAUUUUUCAGUAACAGUGUGCUGUGACACUUUUGUAUUUAUGUCUGAUUUUGUAAGCAAGUAGUUUUUAAGAGAGGUGAAACUUUGGGGUAUGUAAAACAAAUCAGACUCUUGAAAGGGGUACAGUAGUCUGGAAAGGUUGAGAGCCACUGCAAUAAGUGGUAUGACCUCACCCACCUUGUCUCUCUAAUAUCCUGGGACUAACACAGCUAUAAUAAUACUGCAUAAAAUCAGUUUUGACAUUUAUUUAAACAGCCCUGUAAACACAUUAUGCUUACCUCUUAAUUACCUCGUUUGUUAGGGUUAUAAAGGCACUAUAUAUUUGUGUGAAUCUGUAAUGUAGUCAUAUUCUUAAAUGCUGUGCUGGAUGAACAGUUGUCUAGUUUAUCUAUUGCUAAUACACCCACCUUUACUGGGUGAGCAGUUUUGUCUACCUGCCUCCAUCUUGGUACAGUGUCUAGGUGCAGUAUAAUUAAUUGAAAGGCAUAAUUUCUAAUCAAAAGACCUUGCACACUCUCACUAACUUGUUUUUUGCUCAUAUAAAAGAAACUCCUUGGGGCAGAGAUUAUAAAAACUAUACUUGUAUAUUGUGGCAAAUAAUCCAUCUUCCUUUAGGAUUUAAGAAGAGACCUCUUACAUCUUUGGUUUGGUUUUUACUUAUAUUCUCCAUUUUUUUUUAACCAACUAUGGGUCUUAGAUCUUAAGAGAAAAGACACAUUUUAAUUCUUAGUUUUCCUGGAAACAACAAAGCUGCUUUGAUAUUUCUCUUUAAGAAAGCCCAUUAACUUAGCAACAACAUUAUCUUUUUCACUGAA
Dermochelys coriacea (leatherback sea turtle) is the source of this 7056-nucleotide long non-coding RNA. RefSeq lists it as uncharacterized. The record is from RefSeq and is a predicted model, not a curated record. The transcript has 2 exons. NCBI's taxonomy places the organism in Eukaryota, Metazoa, Chordata, Testudines, Dermochelyidae.